Molecule: long non-coding RNA, 2217 nt
Organism: Oryza sativa Japonica Group (Japanese rice)
Lineage: Eukaryota; Viridiplantae; Streptophyta; Magnoliopsida; Poales; Poaceae
Source: RefSeq, a predicted model, not a curated record
UUUUAACGGUUGAGGGAGCCUUUACCUUUACCCAAUUUUACACCCUGUUUUGCAGUGGAGGGACACGAAUCAAACGUGCCUAUAGUCGAGGGAGUCUAGAUGGACUUUUUCCUAAUAAUCUGGCGCGAAUCAUAAAUGGUGAGAACUCGGGUAGAUUGAGCCGCGCGCGGCGGCAGAAGGCAACGCGAAACCCUAAUCCCCAAAUUCGCUAUCUCUUGGCUCUGCCAUCGAAAUUCGAAACCCGCAUAGCUUUGGAGCAAGCCGAAUCUGCAACCAAUCCAUCAGAUUGGAGGGCGAGGCGCAGGGAAGGCGAUCGAUCGACCGAAGCCAUGCCCACCACCGCAGAGGAUCAGAAACAGUGGAAGGUGGUGGAAGUCCAGCGGAUCAAUGCGGAGUCCCAUCCCCCUCCUCGGCGUGACGAUAGGUGUGACGACCUCCGCAACGACGAGGAGUUCCAGCGUGUCAUGGACAACGUCGUCUUCGGCCGGGGUUAUGAUCCCACAAGAGAUGACCUCAGGAUCAGCACUGACCCUACUGCGAUGGUCGAGCUCAUAGAGUACUACCACAAGAUGGGUCUGAUAGAAGGUGAAUGGGUGGCUUAGAGCUUCUUGGAGGGGGUGGAUGGGGUGGAAUUGGAGGAUAAGACGGCGAUGGAUGAGAAGCCAGUGAUAGAGGAGGAUGAUCCACUGGUAGAGAAAGGGUUUUUCCUCCCGGUUAGUAACCCCCUAUACUUCCGGUUUUGCAAUCGGGAGUAGCAAUCCGGGACUAAAGAUACUCAUCUUUAGUCCCGGGUGAAAUAACCGGGACUAAAAAUGUAUCUUUAGUCCCGGUUCGUAUCACCAACCAGGAUUAAAAAUGGCGAUGGCAGCGCCAGUCCCGGUUAGCAACUGGGAUUAAAGAUGGCGAUGGCAGCGCCAGUCCUGGUUAGCCACUGUUUUUUUUCAUUAUUUUUUCCCAAAUCGAGUUGGAACUACACAAAUCUCUUCCCAAAUCAAGUUGCUCCCUUUAUCCCCAAAUCAAAAUCAAAGUAUCAUCACAAACAUAGAUUCACAUCAUAAAUUCUCAAGAAAAAAUACAUCAAGAAGAGUUGGAACUGCACAAAUCUCUUCCCAAAUCAAGUUGCUCCCUGUAUCCCCAAAUCAAAAUCAAAAAUAUCAUCACAAACAUAGAUUCACAUCACAAAUUCUCAAGAAAAAAUACAUCAAGAAAUACAUCAUGUUUGUACAUCACAUAAUGAAUCACAACUUCUAAAAAUUCUCAGAUCCAAUGAAUCACAACUUCUAAAAAAUUCUCAGAUCCAUCACAAAUUCUUAAAAAAAAAAUCAAGUUGCUGCCGGCCGGCAGCCGCGCGCCACGCUGCUGCCCGCCACCCGCUAGCGCGGCCACGCCGCCUCCCUCCCAUCCGCCGCCGCCCGCCCACCCUCCGCGCGGCCCGCCGUGCCAGCCGCCACCGCCCGGACUCGGCCGCCUGGAGAGGAUGAGGUAGGGAGGGGUAGGAGAGGUGAAGGGGGAGGAAGAAGGAGAGAGAUGGGAGACUUCUGAGAUGGAGAUCUCUAGAGAGGCCGGCUGUUAAUUUAAUGCAAAGAGGGGAGAGGAAGGGAGAGGGGGAUAAGAUCAAUGACGACGACUGUGGACUGAUACAGAGGCGGGCGGCUCGGGGUGAAGUUUAGUCCCGGUUAGUAUAAACAACCGGGAUUUUUAGUCCCAGUUAUUUAUACCAACCGGGACUAAAGAUAAUUGGGGCCCUGACUCGUCCUGACAAUUUUUUGAACCGGGAUUAAAAAUGAUCUUUAGUCCCGGUUCGAAUAGGAACCGGGAUUAUUGUGGAUUUUGGACGACCGACCAAAAAUGGUUUCUCUACCAGUGAUCCUGUAGUUGACUGCGAAGGUAGAGACGACGCCACCCCUGAUCGCGCUGAUGAGCAGGUGAAGAAACAGUGCUUGAUGAGCCUCGAGCUGGAUAUCAACCGUGACCAGGGUGCCUCAUCAACUCUUGAAGUUGCUCAAAGAGGACUGGCAAUUGGCACCUGAAUCUCCAGAUGGAUGUGAAAUUUGGUAAUGUCUAUAUCAAACCGUGACUCCUCGAGUCUAUCGUAUUAGCAUAAAAAUAUAUAUAUGUAGAGUAUAUAUAUCUUGUCUGGGAUGCUAAUUGAGAUCGAUGUUGAGAACCAUGUAUAAUCAAUCAUUAUAAAAAUAUAUGUAUGUGCUGUUGAAUGUA